RNAcentral lists this ribosomal RNA (497 nucleotides) under uncultured bacterium. Its description in RNAcentral is "partial 16S ribosomal RNA". It matches the Rfam family "Bacterial small subunit ribosomal RNA", at positions 28 to 507 of the family's 1533-position model. The record is from RNAcentral.
GAUGAACGCUGGCGGCGUGCCUAAUACAUGCCAGUCGAGCGAACGGACGAGAAGCUUGCUUCUCUGAUGUUAGCGGCGGACGGGUGAGUAACACGUGGAUAACCUACCUAUAAGACUGGGAUAACUUCGGGAAACCGUAGCUAAUACCGGAUAAUCUUUUGAACCGCAUGGUUCAAAAGUGAAAGACGGUCUUGCUGUCACUUAUAGAUGGAUCCGCGCUGCAUUAUCUAGUUGGUAAGGUAACGGCUUACCAAGGCAACGAUGCAUAGCCGCCCUGAGAGGGUGAUCGGCCAUACUGGAACUGAGACACGGUCCAGACUCCUACGGGAGGCAGCAGUAGGGAAUCUUCCGCAAUGGGCGAAAGCCUGACGGAGCAACGCCGCGUGAGUGAUGAAGGUCUUCGGAUCGUAAAACUCUGUUAUUAGGGAAGAACAUAUGUGUAAGUAACUGUGCACAUCUUGACGGUACCUAAUCAGAAAGCCACGGCUAACUACGUG